This 1438-nucleotide long non-coding RNA is filed under the name Marmota monax (woodchuck). The record is from RNAcentral. Lineage: Eukaryota; Metazoa; Chordata; Mammalia; Rodentia; Sciuridae.
UGGGACACCAGCCCGGGUUCAGCCAAGCGCUCUCCUAUCGGGCAGCUUCUGCUGCAAGGGGUGAAUGGGGUUGCCAACUCCCUUCUCCCUCACAGGCCUUCGACACAGUGGCGGGCACCUAACCGAGGAGAGAGACGGGCACCCGGGUAAGGGCACAGCCCGCUGGCGCAGGCGGGCACCUAUCACCUCCUGCAGGCUGUGGCCAACUUCUGUAUCCGCGCCGGUGUCCCACGCUUCCCGGGAAACCCUGCCUGCAGGUCUCCUUGUGGGCAGUUGGUCAUAGAGAGGCUGCUGGGGCCGGCAUAGUGGCUUCCUGGGCACCAACUGUGAGGGCGCAGGUUGUCACGCUACAGUGGUGGGAUGAAGAGCGCCGGGGCUGGGUCCGGCGUGCAUGGGAGUGUGCGCGUUCCGGUCCCCACGGACACAUCUGGGCGUGGGCUUUGUUCAGAUGUGCUCACACCUGCUCGGAUCGUUGAGUUCAUGAGGUGAUGCGGGUUUCCCUCCACUAUCACUGCCCUGGAGAGGACUCAGGGAAUGGUUGGGUAGGGUGGGGACCGGGGAGACACUGAGCACAGCGGAUUGGGCGCACUUGCGGAGGGCUUUGUUAGCCUACAGGUGUGGGUCGGGGGAGUCCUAGCACCCCACCCAGCCUCUGAGGACUGGGACUUGUCCGGACUGACCCCCUGGCUUGGGACUGACUGAAAAGACCCUCUUCCCUACUCGGACUCCCAGAGGUGGGAAUCUGGCAACCGCUUCGUCCGGGGAUGCUGUGUUGAUGAACCAGGAGUGAUUAUCCGCGCUGGAGCAUCCAUCUAUCUAGCUGCGAGCGCCAUCUGUGCCGGGCGCCGCCCCGGAGCCCCUCCACGCCGUGCGGGUGGGCGCCGCAGCAUCCUCAGGCAGUUUGUCGGCUCAGCUACGCGAGGCCGGCAUCUACCGGAGCGCUGGGGAGGGAUCGAGAUGUCGCCAAAGGGUGAGCCAGGGAGCCGUCCUCUAAGAGAGGUGUUGGACCAGUAGCAAGCGCCGCUGGAGAGUUCCGGGGCCCAGUGGGCCCGCUAGCAGUCAAUUUCCCUUUGGUCGCCGGCUCUUGACGGCGGCUGCGUCUCCUACGCCCUCACGCUGACCGUCGCCCCCUGCACAGCGGCGGGCACCGAGUGAGGUCGCCAAGCGGUGGCGUCUCUUGCCUACCCUGUUUCUUUCCUGGCUUUUUGUGCCAGUAGCUCCAGCACUGAGCUGUAGCCAGGCACAGAGAUGUCCUGAGAGUGAAGCGUUCUUUUCAUUUCCCUGCCCCGUAAGUUUAAUGCUUAGAAGUGCGGAUCCAAGGGGCUGGGUCCUUCCUCAUGGAAGGCUCCUGCAGGACCUGAGCCAACCGAGAAUAAUGGGGCAAGAGGCAUUGAUUCCGCACUAGGAAUUACCCCCUGGGAUUGUCCUGAGAAGCAAC